UUUCAAGAACGUCCUCAUCCAGUUUGCAACCUAUACUUUUUUAGCACAUCAUUUUUCAUAAGCCUUUUUAUCUUAACAGUUGUUGUGCAUGAUUUCAUUCCAUCGCUGCAGUUGUUCCAUAUUCUCACUCCUUUACAUGUAAUGCAAUGAUAUACUUUGAAUUGGUGCUUAUCGUAGGUGUUUUCAGUACACAUAUACCUCGUUAUCACAUUCUCGGUGACUAAUUCUCCUCUCUGACCUACUCUGCUCCUCCUCCUCACCCUUUGCUGAACUCAGGAACUGAGGCUUGUUUUAACAGAGGAGAUAAACGGGCGAGAUCUUCGUUUCCAUUACCUAUAGCUCUUCAAAGUACUUCAGACAUGUUGUCGAGAGUCUAUGAACAUUUGUGCUUCUAUUUGUAAAAUAUAUGGAGAAAAUAAACCUCUUACAGAACCUACAUUCUUUUCAUCUGUAUCUGUCUUUCCUCCCAAUAAAUGCAGAUGACUGACAAACAUGAA
This is a long non-coding RNA of Centropristis striata (black sea bass), 497 nucleotides long. RefSeq lists it as uncharacterized. The transcript has 2 exons. The record is from RefSeq and is a predicted model, not a curated record. NCBI's taxonomy places the organism in Eukaryota, Metazoa, Chordata, Actinopteri, Perciformes, Serranidae.